This 89-nucleotide unclassified non-coding RNA is filed under the name Pseudomonas sp. A214. Lineage: Bacteria; Pseudomonadati; Pseudomonadota; Gammaproteobacteria; Pseudomonadales; Pseudomonadaceae. The record is from RNAcentral.
GGUGGGAGCGAGCCUGCUCGCGAUAGCGUCGGGUCAGCCAAUGCUGAGUUGACUGAUACACCACUAUCGCGAGCAGGCUCGCUCCCACA